GCUGCUAAGAUUAUUCUAGAGUGAAACACUAGGGUUUUGGGGUUAAAACUUUCAAAUCUAAAGCUUUUAUAAAUGCUUGGGAAGUAAGUUUUGUGUGAUUUUGGUGUUCGAGGUAUAGAUCGAGGUUCUAAGCUAUCCAAGGUGUUUAAUUCCUUUGAAACAUAAAGUUUUCGGAGUUCCCAAUCCCGCUCUUGUCUCCAAUAUUCCAGUUUUUGAAAAUUAAGGAUAGAAAGGCCGGUGGCGAGUGGAACCUAAGACCUUCGUGAUGUACUCGUGGGGACCAUAUAGUCGAGGAAGAUCAAGCGGGCCAAUUUAUUUAUUUUUAUUAAAGAAAUGUUAUUUUAAAGUUUUAUUUAAAUGUUGCUCAUUUUUAUGUUAAAGACAAUUAUUAUUAAAACCAUGGAUCCAUGUAUGUAAUUAUUUUCAAGUUUUUUAUUCAAUAAAAGAGCAAUAUUUA
Long non-coding RNA from Humulus lupulus (European hop), 457 nucleotides. RefSeq lists it as uncharacterized. NCBI's taxonomy places the organism in Eukaryota, Viridiplantae, Streptophyta, Magnoliopsida, Rosales, Cannabaceae. The record is from RefSeq and is a predicted model, not a curated record. The transcript has 4 exons.